Molecule: ribosomal RNA, 458 nt
Filed under: uncultured bacterium
Lineage: Bacteria
Description: partial 16S ribosomal RNA
Rfam family: Bacterial small subunit ribosomal RNA
Source: RNAcentral
CCUACGGGUGGCAGCAGUGAGGAAUAUUGGUCAAUGGGCGAGAGCCUGAACCAGCCAAGUCGCGUGAGGGAGUACUGCCCUAUGGGUUGUAAACCUCUUUUGUCGGGGAGCAAAAGCCGGACGUGUCCGGCUGUUAGAGUACCCGAAGAAAAAGCAUCGGCUAACUCCGUUCCAGCAGCCGCUGUAAUACGGGGGAUGCGAGCGUUAUCCGGAUUUAUUGGGUUUUAAGGGUGCUCAGGCGGAUUUUUAAGUCAGCGGUCAAAUCGGGGGGCUAAACCCCAUCCAGCAGUUGAAACUGGGGAUCUAGAGUGUGCGAGAGGUAUGCGGAAUGCGUGGUGUAGCGGUGAAAGGCAUAGAUAUCACGAAGAACCCCGAUUGCGAAGGCAGCAUACCGGUGCACAACUGACGCUCAGGCACGAAAGCGUGGGUAUCGAACAGGAUUAGAUACCCCAGUAGUC